CCUGGGCUUCCCCCGCCAGCCCCGACAAGCUCUGGGAGUAUUCCCCACCUCCCGCAAAAGCCCACAGGAGCUGGGCACCCUUUAAGGAGCGUGCGGCUUCUGCGGGAGGGGGGGGAAUUCUGUAAGAUUAUUUGGGGAAGUUUUUCUAAUGAGAAGAUAUUGUCACAGAUGCUUGUUUUUGCCAUUCUCAAAAGUGCGAAUUUGUGUCUGCAGAGAUAACAUGCCUUUUCUUCACAGGAAAAAUGUUAUAAAAUAAACAUACAGAGUUGAGGGGAAACCUUAAUCCCAUUGUUCCUUUGCAAAUUUAUAUACACAGCUUGCAGGGCAGCAGCUGAAGGAGGAGCAAAAAGGGUUUUCUUGUGUGUGUGUUUCUUUGUGGCUGAUUAGCUGCUCUCCCUGUGCAAAGGUCAGAGGGGGCAGGGUUUCUCUUGAGGCAGGUGAUUAGCUGUGGGAGGAGCUUAUCAGAGCUUGCAGGGCAGCGGCUCACGCCCGGAGUCGCGCGCAGUUUGAUACAUCUUUUAGAUUUUGGGGAGCUAGUCUCAAACGUUAGUUGGGGGAGACCUAGGUUUUUUUUGAGGGGGGUUAUUUGUCCUGUCUUCACGCUUUUUAAGAUGGAGGACCACUGUAGCCACCCCCAACGACACGUUCUCAAGAUGGAGGGGGAGGGAACAGCUGCAGUCGCCUGCGGUUCCUGCGAAAUGUUUGCCAUCUUGCCAAAGGUUGCAGGCAGCUUUACCUGCAGCAAUUGUAUGUUGAUUGCCCUCUUAGUAGACAAAGUCCAGCAACUGGAGGAAUGUGUAGC
Molecule: non-coding RNA, 802 nt
Organism: Podarcis lilfordi (Lilford's wall lizard)
Lineage: Eukaryota; Metazoa; Chordata; Lepidosauria; Squamata; Lacertidae
Source: the annotation of a GenBank genome assembly